RNAcentral lists this ribosomal RNA (305 nucleotides) under uncultured bacterium. RNAcentral describes it as "bacterial SSU rRNA". It matches the Rfam family "Bacterial small subunit ribosomal RNA", at positions 334 to 653 of the family's 1533-position model. The record is from RNAcentral.
UUACCCUACGGGACGUAGCAGUGGGGGAUAUUGGACAAUGGGGGGAACCCUGAUCCAGCGACGCCGCGUGAGUGAAGAAGUAUUUCGGUAUGUAAAGCUCUGUCAGCAGGGAAGAAUGAAAUGACGGUACCUGACCAAGAAGCCCCGGCUAACUACGUGCCAGCAGCCGCGGUAAUACGUAGGGGGCAAGCGUUAUCCGGAAUUACUGGGUGUAAAGGGAGCGUAGACGGUUAAGUAAGUCUGGAGUGAAAGGCCGGGGCCCAACCCCGGGACUGCUCUGGAAACUAUUUAACUUGAGUGCAGGG